UGGGGUCCCUGAUGUCAACUUCGGGGCCCUUGAGGUCGCCUUCCACUUUGGGCAGAGAAAUGUCCAUGUCGCCCUUCACCUUUGGACCUUUCAGAUUCAGGUCAACUUCAGGCAUAGAGAUCUUCGGUGCCUUGAGGUGCAGGUCAGGCAUUUUAAAUUUGGGGCCCUUCAGUUUCCCUUCUGGACCAUGAAUAUCAAUAUCAGGAGUGUCAAUGUCCACUUUGGGUCCUGAGACAUCAAUGUCAGCCUUGGGCAGGUUCACAUCCACAUCUGGGCCCUCUCCUUUGAAGCCAGGCAUGCUGAACUUGGGCAUUUUCACCUUGGGCAUCUUCAGGUGCCAGUCUGGACCCUGAACAUUAACAUCUGGGACAUCAAUGUCCACUUUGGGGCCUUUGAGGUCAACUUCAGGACCUUUCAGAUCUCCCUCUACC
This 431-nucleotide long non-coding RNA is filed under the name Homo sapiens (human). RNAcentral's name for it is "HSALNT0176086". Lineage: Eukaryota; Metazoa; Chordata; Mammalia; Primates; Hominidae. The record is from RNAcentral.